This 765-nucleotide long non-coding RNA is filed under the name Homo sapiens (human). Its description in RNAcentral is "long intergenic non-protein coding RNA 293". Lineage: Eukaryota; Metazoa; Chordata; Mammalia; Primates; Hominidae. The record is from RNAcentral.
CUUCCCACAGAGAGCGGUUUGAUAUGUCACUGAAACCAGCAUCCAGGUGGUAUUGCUCCAUAUGCCUGAGACCCUAACAAAAGCCUAAUUACAACUCAUAUGCCUGGAGCCAGGACAUGUGCAGGAUGCCAUGAUGGUCCAAGUUAUAUUGGGAUUCAGCCAAUAGAAGAUAUUUUGCCUGUCAUCCCUAAGCUUAGGACAAUAGGAACAUUGUGACAUUGCUGGACGUAGCAUCUAGGAAAUGUACUCUCCUCUCCUGCCUAGGCCCUGCCCACUAAAGGAAUUGUGACAUACCACUGAGUGCAAAACCUAGACUCUGCCAAGAGAGGGGAUUAUUACAUAUUGCAGAGCCCAGCACCUAGGUGGAGUGACUCUCAUCUUUUUCUUCUACCCCGUAUAUAGCCAGCUUGGUGACCUACUAUUUGAGUCUAUACCCAGGCCCAGACCACAGAUGAAAUUGUGCAAUAUGUGGAACAAACACCUAAACAAUAUAUAACACCUUCCUUGGCUCUGUCUACAAAGGGCACUUUUAUAUAUCACUGGGACCAUCAACCAGGUGAUGUUAAUUAUCUUCCUGAAACCUGUCUACAAAGAGAGUUGUGUCGUAUACCUAGGCCCGUCAUGUAAGUGAUGUCAGUCCCUUCUACUGCCUUGGCCCUGCACUUACAGUGCAUUGUGACACAUAACAAGGUACUGCACACAGACGAUGUGAUUCUCCUUUUUGGGUUCUGCCAAAAGGAAGCAUUGUAAUAAAUCGCUUGGCUC